GAUGAACGCUGACAGAAUGCUUAACACAUGCAAGUCAACUUGAAUUUGGGUUUUUAACUUAGGUUUGGGUGGCGGACGGGUGAGUAACGCGUAAAGAACUUGCCUCACAGCUAGGGACAACAUUUGGAAACGAAUGCUAAUACCUAAUAUUAUGAUAAUAGGGCAUCCUAUAAUUAUGAAAGCUAUAAGCGCUGUGAGAGAGCUUUGCGUCCCAUUAGCUAGUUGGAGAGGUAACGGCUCACCAAGGUGAUGAUGGGUAGCCGGCCUGAGAGGGUGAUCGGCCACAAGGGGACUGAGACACGGCCCUUACUCCUACGGGAGGCAGCAGUGGGGAAUAUUGGACAAUGGACCAAGAGUCUGAUCCAGCAAUUCUGUGUGCACGAUGAAGUUUUUCGGAAUGUAAAGUGCUUUCAGUUGGGAAGAAAGAAAUGACGGUACCAACAGAAGAAGUGACGGCUAAAUACGUG
Molecule: ribosomal RNA, 467 nt
Filed under: uncultured bacterium
Lineage: Bacteria
Description: partial 16S ribosomal RNA
Rfam family: Bacterial small subunit ribosomal RNA
Source: RNAcentral